Non-coding RNA from Burkholderia pseudomallei, 412 nucleotides. It matches the Rfam family "Bacterial RNase P class A". Rfam says of the family: Ribonuclease P (RNase P) is a ubiquitous endoribonuclease, found in archaea, bacteria and eukarya as well as chloroplasts and mitochondria. The record is from Rfam. Lineage: Bacteria; Pseudomonadati; Pseudomonadota; Betaproteobacteria; Burkholderiales; Burkholderiaceae.
AAAGCAGGCUAGGCAGUCGCGGCUUUCGCGGUUCGCCGCGAAGGGCGAGGAAAGUCCGGACUCCAACAGGGCAGGGUGAUGGCUAACGGCCAUCCGUGGCGACACGCGGAACAGGGCAACAGAAAGCAAACCGCCGAUGGCCCGGCGCAAGCCGGGAUCAGGCAAGGGUGAAACGGUGCGGUAAGAGCGCACCGCGGCUGCGGCGACGCAGACCGGCACGGUAACCUCCACCCGGAGCAAUUCCAAGUAGGCGGACGCGCAUCUUCGGAUGCAGGGCGGUGCCCCCGUCUCGUUCGCGGGUAGGAAGCUUGAGCGCGUCAGCAAUGGCGCGCCUAGAGGAAUGGCUGCCACGGGCCGCGCACCUUCGGGCGUGCGGUUCGCACAGAAUCCGGCUUAUCGGCCCGCUUUGCCG